AUACGGAGGAUCCGAGCGUUAUCCGGAUUUAUUGGGUUUAAAGGGUGCGCAGGCGGGAGAUUAAGUCGGCGGUGAAAUUUUUGAGCUCAACUGUAAAAGUGCCUUCGAAACUGGUUUCCUUGAGGGUAGAUGAAGGAGGCGGAAUUUGUGGUGUAGCGGUGAAAUGCAUAGAUAUCACGAGGAACUCCGAUUGCGCAGGCAGCUUACUAAACUACUACUGACGCUCAGGCACGAAGGCGUGGGGAUCAAACAGGAUUAGAUACCCUGGUAGUCCACGCAGUAAACGAUGAUUACUAGCUGUUUGCGAUACAAUGUAAGCGGCUGAGCGAAAGCGUUAAGUAAUCCACCUGGGGAGUACGUUCGCAAGAAUGAAACUCAAAUGAAUUGACGGGG
This 393-nucleotide ribosomal RNA is filed under the name uncultured bacterium. RNAcentral's name for it is "partial 16S ribosomal RNA". It matches the Rfam family "Bacterial small subunit ribosomal RNA", at positions 523 to 918 of the family's 1533-position model. The record is from RNAcentral.